RNAcentral lists this long non-coding RNA (1089 nucleotides) under Salmo salar (Atlantic salmon). RNAcentral's name for it is "lncRNA (ENSSSAG00000102822.1)". The record is from RNAcentral. Lineage: Eukaryota; Metazoa; Chordata; Actinopteri; Salmoniformes; Salmonidae.
CAUCUCCUCAUUGGUUUAUAGAAGCAGGUACCCACGUGCCAUCUCCUCAUUGGUUGUACCCACGUGGGUGAUUGAAAGACAAAAUGUUUUGCCGGUUGUUGUGGUAAAAGUGUAGAUGCCAAUCACCAUAUAAAUUCAAAGAUGAAAAAGCCUGGAAGCAGGAGAGAUGACUAGAAACGAUUCGGUUGGCCGUUUUAUGUGUGGAUUAAUUGUUGGAGUAGAGAACCUUCUGCAUUUCAGGACAAUGACCCAAAGCACAGCUCCAAGCUAUGCAAGAACUAUUUAGGGAAGAAUAAGUCAGCUGGUAUUCUGUCUAUAAUGGAGUGGCCAGCACAGUCACCGGAUCUCAACCCUAUUGAGCUGUUAUGGGAGCAGCUUGACCGUAAGAUUCUUCAAAGUAGCCACCCUUUGCCUUGAUGACAGCUUUGCAAACUCUUGGCAUUCUCUCAACCAGCUUCACCUGGAAUGCUUUUCCAACAGCCUUCAAGGAGUUCCUGUGACGUCUACACCUGCUCCCCCUCUCCGGGGCUCUACAUCGCCAGUUUAUUCAUUAUUACGCACACCUGCCACCAUCGAAACGUGCACCUGCGCCUCUUGAGAUUUUACUCGUGUUCUUGUUUUGUCCUAUGUUCCGCUAUUUAUUAAAUUCACUCCCUGUACUUGCUUCCCAAUUCUUAGCAUACAUGUAACAGUUCCCACAUAUCCUGGGCAUUUGUUGGCUGCUUUUCCUUCACUCUGCGGUCCAACUCAUCCCAAACCAUCUCAAUUGGGUUGAGGUCGAGUGAUUGUGGAGGCCACUCCAUCCCUCUUCUUCUUGGACAAAUAGCCCUUACACAGCCUGGAGGUGUGUUGUGUCAUUGUCCUGUUGAAAAAUAAAUGGUAGUCCCACUAAGUGCAAACCAGACGGGAUGGUGUAUCGCUGCAGAAUGCUGUAGUCAUGACUUUACUUUCAUUAAUCUGAUGACUGUUAUAUUUAAUCAACUAACUUUGUUUAAUUGUUACCUGAUUAAAUUAAUAAUGUAACAAUUAACUCAUUAGGAAUUUGGGGCACCACAAGAGCAGUUGUUUAAAGAGUUACCAUCUCCCGAA